Notothenia coriiceps (black rockcod) is the source of this 87-nucleotide long non-coding RNA. RefSeq lists it as uncharacterized. NCBI's taxonomy places the organism in Eukaryota, Metazoa, Chordata, Actinopteri, Perciformes, Nototheniidae. The transcript is spliced from 3 exons. The record is from RefSeq and is a predicted model, not a curated record.
GAGUGCUGCUGCAGCUGGCUCAGAGGAAUGGUGGGGGUGCCGGGGGGGAGAGGAGUGCCUGCUGUAGGGGGUAACUCUGGGGGAAUA